UGACUUCGAAAUUUCGAUGUCCAGCAGCCUGGCUUCUUUAUUAGGAAGUCAUCUGCACUGCAGUCAGGACUGCGGUACACAGCAGUGAGGUCAAUAUCUUGUCCUAUGCACUAAAAUCUGCAGCGUAGAUGUUUGCACGAUUCACUUUCGUGAGCGAGUUCUUCGAUGCGACGCACGGUUAACCAUCUCUUGAGGACGAUAGCCAUCGAAGUCGAAAACCGCUAACGAUUUUGCAGCAACUCACUUGCCGAAUCAAGCAGCUCUGAGAAUGGAUGGAGCUCGAGCGUUGGACCUAUGCCGUAUCGUUGCUGCAAGCUGAAUCUGAGCAGGCUGGGGGCAAACUGAUUCGAUCCAAGCAUGGAUUGACGGCGACGAGUUGGACGGUCGCUGCGGCUAGAGGGAAGACUCGGGUGUAAGCCUAGGUGAAACAACUACAGGUGCAUAUCUUAGUAAUAGUGGCAAAUAUUCAAGUGAGAACCUUGAAGGUCGAAGUGGAGAAAUGUUCCAUGGGAACGGCAGUUAGCCACGGGUCGGGCGGUAGUACUAUGAACAGUCAACCAUGCGUUGAUUCCUGAUAUAGUAUCGUUUGUGAGAAAUAAAAUUUUAACGUAUGUCGAGCGCGGUAGCAGUUUUCUGUUCUGCCGGGGUUGUGGUACUGACCAUAUAGCUAUGAUUGGUGUCAUGAAUACUGGGGAAGUAAGGUCCCGUCUUUCGCCACGUUUGCUUUCCGCGGCUUUCUUUCCCUGCAGUGUAAGUUUCUUUCCGUCCUUCAGUACAGUGUCGCCGAUGAUUUGUCCUUAUCUCGCUUUUUGAGGGAGACUACACCACGCUAUUCUUUUGCG
Trichobilharzia regenti is the source of this 842-nucleotide non-coding RNA. The record is from Rfam. NCBI's taxonomy places the organism in Eukaryota, Metazoa, Platyhelminthes, Trematoda, Strigeidida, Schistosomatidae.